UCAUUCUAUAAAUUAAAUUGCUUUAUAUUAUCACAUAUUAUUGUUUCAUAAUUAAGUAAAAGAUAUUUAUUUAUCUAUAUUAUAUAUUUAUUUUUGUUAAACAUUUGUAUCCUGCGGCCGCUCCGCCAAUCUAUGGACAAAUCCGCUAAAACCCACAAUCUAUUUGGGCUUGCCCGUUAGGCUUUCUAUUUUAUGGACAUAAAGCGAUGUCCAAUCCCACCCUGCCGUGGUACAAUAUAGGCUAAUCUCAAAGGCCGAGUUACAUAAUACUUUGUUUAUUUAUAUGUAUUAAAGGAUUUUUUUUGUUACAAAAU
Molecule: small RNA, 314 nt
Filed under: Arabidopsis thaliana (thale cress)
Lineage: Eukaryota; Viridiplantae; Streptophyta; Magnoliopsida; Brassicales; Brassicaceae
Description: ATSL214010
Source: RNAcentral